This is a long non-coding RNA of Oreochromis niloticus (Nile tilapia), 238 nucleotides long. RefSeq lists it as uncharacterized. The transcript has 3 exons. NCBI's taxonomy places the organism in Eukaryota, Metazoa, Chordata, Actinopteri, Cichliformes, Cichlidae. The record is from RefSeq and is a predicted model, not a curated record.
CCAAGGCAAAGAAUUUGUCAAUUCUCUCAACAAAAGGGUUUGCGGAUUGUUAAAAAUUAAAAGAAGCCUCUGCUCCCCCUAUCACCCACAAACAAAUGGGCUGGUGGAGAAAAUGAAUGGCACCAUCCAGAGAGCCCUGUGCAAAGUUGUUGGCGACCAUCCAGAAAUGUGGGAUGAGUAUCUGGAUGCUGUAAUGUUUGGAAUCAGAACUAAAAAGCAAGUGACCACCAAAUACUCA